Molecule: long non-coding RNA, 812 nt
Filed under: Ananas comosus (pineapple)
Lineage: Eukaryota; Viridiplantae; Streptophyta; Magnoliopsida; Poales; Bromeliaceae
Description: long non-coding RNA (ACOM_LNC042384)
Source: RNAcentral
UAAUUUUAGAAGCAGUUACUUAUAUUUUUUAGGAAAAACUUCAAAAACCCUCCCGAGGUUUCACUUUUUUUCAGUUUAGUAUCCUGUGGUUUAAAGUGUAUCAUAUUAGUACUCUGCGGUUUUUCACUUUAUCACUUUAGUAUCUUUUGGUUUAAAGUGUAUCAAGUUAGUACCAUAUGAUUUCACACUUUAUCACUUUAGUAUCCUGUGGUUUCGCACUUUAUCACUUUAGUACCCUGUGGACUUGAUACAAAAAUAAAAUCACAGGGUACUAACUUGAUACAGUUUAGACCACUUAGUACUAAAGUGAUAAAGUGAGAAACCACAUGGUACUAACUUGAUAAAUUUUAAAUCACAGAAUACUAAAAUAAAAAAGUACGAAACUACAUGGGGUUUUUUUUAAAGUCUUCCCUAUUUUUUGGGUUCUUGUGUCUAUACUAUCCAAUCAUCCAAUAGUCAGACAUCAAAGGGCCUAGAAAGUAAAAGUAAUAUACUUCUAGAUUAUGUGUAGAUAUAUAGAUAUAAAUGAAAUUAUUUGGCUGGAAUAUUAUUAAUAGUAUUUAGACUAUUUUGCUAUUGAGUUUUUACUUACGAAAAAUUAUAGAGUUAGCAUGAUAGUGGUUCUCUAAGAUUUAAUGACGAUCCCUCUAAAGUUGAGUGGGCAGUUGGUUAAAUACUAUGAUCUAAAUGGCAAAAUUAAUUAAAAUAUAAAUCUAACGACUAAAAAAUUAAUAGUAAAAAAAUUUAAAUACUAUUAAUAGUAUUUCAGCUCAUCUCUAUAUAAAUACGUACUUUAAAAUUUAAUCAACAUA